This 213-nucleotide long non-coding RNA is filed under the name Elaeis guineensis (African oil palm). RNAcentral's name for it is "long non-coding RNA (EGUI_LNC041438)". Lineage: Eukaryota; Viridiplantae; Streptophyta; Magnoliopsida; Arecales; Arecaceae. The record is from RNAcentral.
AGAAGAAAAUCCUGAAAACCAUGUGGUGGAGCAAUCUUAUCUCUACACUCAAAUCCUUAGCUUCAAUUUUUAUAAACCCCUCCACAUCCUCUCUUCCUAAGAUGGUCCUGAGCCUGAUUUUUUUUUUUGGAAGCUCAUCAAGGCAACUACCUUCACAGGAUAUCUGAACAAGUCUAUCCAACCUAGAAGCAUUUAGUAUAAUUUGAACACCCU